RNAcentral lists this ribosomal RNA (744 nucleotides) under Triticum aestivum (bread wheat). RNAcentral describes it as "partial small subunit ribosomal RNA". The record is from RNAcentral. Lineage: Eukaryota; Viridiplantae; Streptophyta; Magnoliopsida; Poales; Poaceae.
AUGCAGCCGCGAGCUGGGGCUUUACCACAUUCUGGAGGAAGAGUGAACUUGGAGAGUAUAUUAUUGAUGACAUUCUUUGCAUCCAGUGCAAUCUUACAGUUAUCAAGUUCAAGGAGGCGCAGGUUUUCACAUUUGGAGGAGGCCAAGACGAAUGUUGUGGUCCAAGUGCCGCCAUCUGAUCUGUUUGAUAAUCUCAGUAACUUGCUGGAUACCACAGAGGGAGCUGAUGUAUCUUUCAAUGUGAAACAUGAUGUUUUCUCAGCUCAUAAGAUAAUCCUUGCGAUGCGUUCGGCGGUCUUCAGGUCAGAGUUCUACGGGCCAAUGAGGGACAAAAAAAGGCGCAGCAUAACUGUCGAAGAUAUGCAGCCUGCUGCUUUCAGAGGACUGCUUCACUUCAUCUACAAGGAUUCGUUGCCUCCGAUGGAUGAGCUCAAUGAUGAAGAGUAUGAAGAAAUGCUUAGGCAUUUGCUUGUCGCUGCAGAUAGGUAUGCCAUGGAAAGGAUGAAAUUGAUGUGCGAGAGCAAGCUGUGCGAGGUUCUUUGUGCUGAGACUGUCGCGACCACGCUAGCUCUAGCCGACCAGCACCAUUGCAGCCAGCUCAAAGAUGCUUGCAUUGAGUUUAUGAACUCUUCAAACAUAAUUUGUGAUGUGGUGGCCAGUAAAGGGUAUGAGCAACCGAAAAGGGAAUGCCCUACUAUCAUUGCGGAUAUUUGGGAGAAAACAGCAAAGAGUCGCAAACUUUAG